AAAUAGAUAGAAUGAUCCAAUUCAAAUGAAAAUGUCACACCCCGGGGUCUCUUUUUGAAAUCUAAUUUGAAAUCGGACUAUCUUUAUAAAUCGGAGUUAGCGGAAAACUGGCCUCUUUUUUAUUUUUUUAUUUUUUGAUCUUGACCCAGAGAUAUAACAGCUCGCCACAAAUACAAAAAAUUUUCGAAACAAACGGACAUAUCUUUCCCCUAUUUGCACGGUGUAACACAUAUACAAUUAACAAUUAGACUUCCACUCGUACACACAAUAAUACUAGAAGUACAAGGAUCACUAAUUUCGCAUCAUACAGCUAACGAUCCUUAGUCACAUCUAUUCAUGUUCAUUCACAUAUAUCCUAUUAGUUCCAAAUGUCUCCCACACGAAGACUUUAUUUGAAAUUCUAACUUUCGAAAAGCCACAAGAAAACCAUUUAAAAAUCGUUCCCCACACGGGAGCCUUUAUUUUGAAAAUACUAUCACGAUAGGUAGAAAGCCAACAUUCGAAAACUGAGACCAA
RNAcentral lists this long non-coding RNA (516 nucleotides) under Ananas comosus (pineapple). RNAcentral describes it as "long non-coding RNA (ACOM_LNC013692)". Lineage: Eukaryota; Viridiplantae; Streptophyta; Magnoliopsida; Poales; Bromeliaceae. The record is from RNAcentral.